GGCUGAAUCACACCGGUUCUCAAACGAUCACCGAAGUUAAGUAACGUCGAGCCUGGUCAGUUCCGAGAUGGGUGACCGCUUGGAAUAACAGCUGCUGUAAG
This is a non-coding RNA of Acanthosepion pharaonis, 101 nucleotides long. Lineage: Eukaryota; Metazoa; Mollusca; Cephalopoda; Sepiida; Sepiidae. The record is from the annotation of a GenBank genome assembly.